This 100-nucleotide non-coding RNA is filed under the name Planococcus sp. PAMC 21323. RNAcentral describes it as "Purine riboswitch aptamer". It matches the Rfam family "Purine riboswitch aptamer". From Rfam's summary of the family: Riboswitches are metabolite binding domains within certain messenger RNAs that serve as precision sensors for their corresponding targets. RNAcentral also lists the same sequence under 1 other name. The record is from Rfam by way of RNAcentral. Lineage: Bacteria; Bacillati; Bacillota; Bacilli; Caryophanales; Caryophanaceae.
AAGAAAUAAACUAUAUGCAUCUGUAUAACCCUAAGAAUAUGGCUUAGGGGUCUCUACCAGGAACCUCAAAAUCCUGAUUACAGAAAACGAUUUGUUCGUU